GAUGAAGAACGUAGCGAAAUGCGAUAAGUAGUGUGAAUUGCAGAAUUCAGUGAAUCAUCGAAUCUUUGAACGCACAUUGCGCCCCUUGGUAUUCCAUGGGGCAUGCUUGUUCGAGCGUCAUUUGUACUCUCAAGCUCUGCUUGGUGUUGGGUGUUUGUCCUUUCCCUGCGUUAGGACUCGCCUCAAAUUCAUUGGCAGCCGAUAUAUUGGUUUGAAGCGCAGCACAAUUUGCGAUUCGGGCUGUUUAUUGUUGGCGUCCAGUAAGCACAUUUAACACUUUUGACCUCGGAUCAAGUAGGGAUACCCGCUGAACUUAAGCAUAGCAAUAAGCGGAGGA
RNAcentral lists this unclassified non-coding RNA (337 nucleotides) under soil metagenome. RNAcentral's name for it is "partial contains 5.8S ribosomal RNA, internal transcribed spacer 2, and large subunit ribosomal RNA". The stretch from base 1 to 120 matches the Rfam family "5.8S ribosomal RNA", at positions 35 to 154 of the family's 154-position model. The record is from RNAcentral.